CAGUCUUGUCCGGCUGAAGAGCCACUGGAGCCCUGGCUUAGGCCUGGGCUGUGAGAGUCUCUUCCCCACGGAGCUCUCAGCCUUCGUAGAGGAAAUUUGGGUGGGGGUUCGAACAUUUUAACCAGGAAUGAAAUGCCACAAUUGCUUGCCUGAGAAAGGAAAACAGAACGCAAGAUGACACCCCCCCCAAACAAACCAACCCCUGCUGACACCCUUUCCCGGCCCUGGGGGUGAAGAGGGGACAAUCGGCGUGAGUUGGUGAAGUGCCCGUCACCUGCUCCGAGGUUCUAGGCCGGGGUGGCUCCUGCUGGAGGAAGCAGGCUGGAGGAGGUUCUGAUGGAUGCUGAAGACUUGCUUCAUGACUCCAUCUCCCAGGUCACGAAGAGCCUUUGCCCUUCCCAAAGCCGUCGGAUCAAGUGUUCCCGUUGAUCCCGUUUGAAUCGCCCCCACCGGUACCCAGCGCAACCACAUUACCUCUCCCCGCUACGGCAGCGUCUUCCCAGCAGCAGCUGGUGCUACUGGACCGCUGCCCAAGAGCCCAGUAAAAGAAGAGCACACUUCCAGUCCCCCCAGACGCUUAAGCGGUACCACUCACUCCCCUCCCCAGCACAUGCCUGUGGCCGCCUCUGAGAGCCAGAUUGCUCCAGCCCCUAGAGCUGCUGGCGGGGCUUAAAAAAAAAAAAAAAAAAAAGUGACCUCUUGACAGGCUCUUGUGGGCACAGAAAACCAAUCUUUGCCCGUGAGCAGCAAGAAGGUGCUUACGGAACUGAGAGAUGAUGCCUGAUUCUCUCCUCGGGGAGCAGGUGACAAUAGAGAGGUGUUGGCGCCCUUAUUAAAAAAUGGCCUUCCGGGGCGAGUCUUGCGGGGACUCCCGCACACCUCAAGUGAAGCCCGCUUGCAGGCCCGCGGCUCUGGUGCACACAGGCGAGGUCUUGGGA
Long non-coding RNA from Zalophus californianus (California sea lion), 938 nucleotides. RefSeq lists it as uncharacterized. The record is from RefSeq and is a predicted model, not a curated record. The transcript is spliced from 3 exons. Lineage: Eukaryota; Metazoa; Chordata; Mammalia; Carnivora; Otariidae.